AGUAAUUCCAUUGUCUUUAUUUGACCAUUUCAUUUGUCCAACAAGCUCUCUAAUUCAAAUGUCCCUUGUACAUAGAAUUAUCAAUAGUUAAUUAACAACAAAGUACUAUACUUGUUUCUGAAAUAUAUUUAACAAAAGUAAAAUGUGAAGAAUGAUAAUGUGGAUCAAUACUAUCUUUGUUUUAUUUUAAUCCCAGAUUUCCCCCCUAUGUUUUUCUGGGUGCUCUAAACCUGAUUGAGGCAAAAUAAAAGCAUUGUUACCUUCUGACCACUAGAUGGAGAACAGGUACUGCUGUUGACAACUUGAUCAUGCCACAAACCUCUAAAUGCCUCCACAUCAGCAAUUGUUCAGCUGACUGGACAGCAGCGAGUUCGGUCACACAGAAGUAAUGUAAAGAAAUAACACCAAUAACACUGACAGACAGAGGAGGGGCAUGUCUUUCCCCAGUGGAAAUCCUGGAAAGAGCCUUUACUGACAGAACCACUCUGUAGGAUGCAG
Molecule: long non-coding RNA, 498 nt
Organism: Anguilla rostrata (American eel)
Lineage: Eukaryota; Metazoa; Chordata; Actinopteri; Anguilliformes; Anguillidae
Exons: 3
Source: RefSeq, a predicted model, not a curated record